UACGGAGGGAGCUAGCGUUGUUCGGAAUUACUGGGCGUAAAGCGUACGUAGGCGGUUAUUCAAGUCGGGGGUGAAAGCCCGGGGCUCAACCCCGGAACUGCCCUCGAAACUAGAUAGCUAGAAUCUUGGAGAGGCGAGUGGAAUUCCGAGUGUAGAGGUGAAAUUCGUAGAUAUUCGGAAGAACACCAGUGGCGAAGGCGACUCGCUGGGCAAGUAUUGACGCUGAGGUGCGAAAGCGUGGGGAGCAAACAGG
RNAcentral lists this ribosomal RNA (253 nucleotides) under uncultured bacterium. RNAcentral describes it as "partial 16S ribosomal RNA". It matches the Rfam family "Bacterial small subunit ribosomal RNA", at positions 524 to 776 of the family's 1533-position model. The record is from RNAcentral.